CCCGCCCCGCUCCCUUGUACUUCGCACCUUUGUUUUACCUAAUGUCACAGAGCAGGUGCCACUCUUGGCCACUACUUCACUCAAACUGCUGCCAUGGCCCUCACUCUGUUGGUUCCCCACCAAUCUGACCAUUCCUCUUCAGUUUUCUUUGCCACCUCUUCUGAUCUGGGAAGUAUAAAUAGACUGUGUGAGGGUUAGAAAACCCUUGAAAGAGGUACCUGAGUACAGAGAAUUCCCAACUAGCCCUCUUUGAGGGGCAUCUUAGACACAGCAUGACAUCAAGUAAU
Leopardus geoffroyi (Geoffroy's cat) is the source of this 287-nucleotide long non-coding RNA. RefSeq lists it as uncharacterized. Lineage: Eukaryota; Metazoa; Chordata; Mammalia; Carnivora; Felidae. The transcript has 2 exons. The record is from RefSeq and is a predicted model, not a curated record.